ACACUUGUGUUACUGUUGUUGUUGUCAGUUGGAAGAAAGCUCAGAUACUUUGAAUUUUUUCACUUUUGUACCCAAAAAUGACAAAUGAUUUAUAUUGCUUCAAGAAAUAACUUCCGGGAUUGUGUGCCAGGAGGUUUGAGUUUGAGGCAAACAGGACUCCCCACAGGACUCUCCCUUGGACAGACGCCAGUUCUCUCUUCUCUCUGUGUGGGCCAGGGGGUUUGAGGCAAACAGGACUCCCCACAGGACUCUCCCUUGGACAGACGCCAGUUCUCUCUUCUCUCUGUGUGGGCCAGGGGGUUUGAGGCAAACAGGACUCCCCACAGGACUCUCCCUUGGACAGACGCGAGUUGUCUCCUCUCUCUGUGUGGGCCAGGAGGUUUGAUUCAAACAAGACUCCCCACAGGACUCUCCCUUGGACAGACGCCAGUUCUCUUCUCUCUCUCUGUGUCUGCUUGUUUUGCUUACAGGUAUUUCUGCUGAUGUGAAUUAUAAAUAUAUAUAUAACAUUUUUCAUAAAAAUGUUUCCGUUGACAAUUGGCCAUGUACAUAUAUAUAUAUAAACGUACACUUUUCACAAAAGUGUUUGUUCAGUCUUGUAUUGCUUCAAAAGCAACGCUCAUUCUUUCAUUUCCCUGGUGAUGUAUGAUGAGCACGGUAUAUCCAAUAUGUUUGUGCUUUUUCAUCAGUGGUAAGACUAAUGAAGUCAUAUAUAUAUAGAAAUAAAUAUAUGAUCUAUAUAUUGUUUGUCUAUGUUUCCCACCCCCAUCAACACUGUCACUAGUUGGAUGGUUCAGGUCAACUCUGUCACUAGUUGGAUGGUUCAGAUCAACACUGUCACUAGUUGGAUGGUUCAGGUCAACUCUGUCACUAGUUGGAUGGUUCAGAUCAACUUUUGAGAUCAGUCACUAGUUGGAUGGUUCACAUCAACACUGUCACUAGUUGGAUGGUUCAGAUCAACACUGUCACUAGUUGGAUGGUUCAGGUCAACACUGUCACUAGUUGGAUGGUUCAGAUCAACUCUGUCACUAGUUGGAUGGUUCAGAUCAACACUCACUAGUUGGAUGGUUCAGAUCAACUCUGUCACUAGUUGGAUGGUUCAGAUCAACACUCACUGGUUGGAUGGUUCAGGUCAACACAGUCACUAGUUGGAUGGUUCAGAUCAACACUCACUAGUUGGAUGGUUCAGACCAACACUGUCACUAGUUGGAUGGUUCAGACCAACACUGUCACUAGUUGGAUGGUUGAGGAGGCCGGCUGAUAUACCCUGCCUGUAGGGGCCGGCCUAGACUGAGUGAGACUCGAUACAUCUCGGCAGACAGACGGUACAUCCCGGUAGACAGACGGAGACAGGCCCCAUCAAACGUGAGGCCUCGUGGCGGAAUCAGGCGCUCGUAUUUGUAAAAUAACGAAAUUGGAGAACAGGCAAUUUUUCCACCAGUUUGGAAAUGUUUAUAGAAUUUUGGUUUUUGGCUUAACCUCUUUUAAGUUAAUAUCUAAAAUACACAUUUCCUGGUGAAUUUAACUGAGAAAACAUUGAAAGAAAAUACGUCGUUUUUCAGUUGUUUCAGACUCUUUGUUACCAAACUUUGACUUUGAGCCAUUUUCUCGCUAAUUUCUCCACUGAAACCAAGCGACCUCACUUCCUUCAAUGGCAGAUAUCUUGAAUUCAUGGAUAUAUUUAUUUCAUUUGUAGCGAGGCAAACAGAUGAGCGUUCAGAGGAUAGCAAUAACACAAAACAUUGACGAGCACCAGAUUCCAGCACGUGGUGACACAAAUGUCUCCCCACGUGGGUAUCGAACUCACAUCUUCUGCGUGUGGUAGUGAAGAGCCUAGCCAUAACUUCAUUGUGAAAGCCCGCAGUAGUUGAGUGUACUUUUGGGCCGAAAGUUUUUCAAGUUUUCAAAGCGUGCCUAUUAUUAUUUUAUUGAAAUCAUUUUUACAAAGAAAUGACUUUUCUUCAGAGUAAUUUGAUUAAGAUGACAUCAGGUUGGGUUUUUUUUCCCCCUCCUGCGUGCUGGCUUGGUUUCGGGCGGUGAGUUGUGGUUUGGUGCGUGGAUUUUCUCCCAGCUUUCUGUACACGAGGCGAGAAAAUUGUAGGUGUUGGUUACAAGGGAAAUUAUUGUUUGCCUGCUCUUCGUUGACCAAUGGCACAACCACCAGCUCAGGAGAAACCAGCGGGUGCUUUGAGUGGUUGUUACACGUAUAUUUCUUCUUCCAGGAAUUUCUAGCGUGGGCUCCUCAAAACUGUUGUUCAGUUACAAUAUAUAUAUAUCUGUUAGCAAUGUGUUUUGCUAGUCAGCUUUACUUAGGGUGGGUGUGGGGGGGGGGGGGCGCUGUUCUUGCCUGCCAAUGGUGGAAUCUGGAACUUUCUGAGCUUUAUUGUUAGUUUUUUCAACUGAUGGACAGAAAGUGCCAAAAUGUCCUGGACCUUGAGAGACUUUUCCUCGUUUGUGUUUUGUUCUUUCAAACUGAAAUAGAAGGCAAUUUGCAGUCGCAGAAAUUCAAUAAAUUUUGCCGAAAAAUU
This 2528-nucleotide long non-coding RNA is filed under the name Aplysia californica (California sea hare). RNAcentral's name for it is "uncharacterized LOC106012448". The record is from RNAcentral. Lineage: Eukaryota; Metazoa; Mollusca; Gastropoda; Aplysiida; Aplysiidae.